This 902-nucleotide ribosomal RNA is filed under the name uncultured bacterium. Its description in RNAcentral is "bacterial SSU rRNA". It matches the Rfam family "Bacterial small subunit ribosomal RNA", at positions 29 to 921 of the family's 1533-position model. The record is from RNAcentral.
AUGAACGCUAGCUACAGGCUUAACACAUGCAAGUCGAGGGGAAACGACAUCGAAAGCUUGCUUUUGAUGGGCGUCGACCGGCGCACGGGUGAGUAACGCGUAUCCAACCUGCCCACCACUUGGGGAUAACCUUGCGAAAGUAAGACUAAUACCCAAUGACGUCUCUAGAAGACAUCUGAAGGAGAUUAAAGAUUUAUCGGUGAUGGAUGGGGAUGCGUCUGAUUAGCUUGUUGGCGGGGUAACGGCCCACCAAGGCGACGAUCAGUAGGGGUUCUGAGAGGAAGGUCCCCCACAUUGGAACUGAGACACGGUCCAAACUCCUACGGGAGGCAGCAGUGAGGAAUAUUGGUCAAUGGACGAGAGUCUGAACCAGCCAAGUAGCGUGCAGGAUGACGGCCCUAUGGGUUGUAAACUGCUUUUAUAAGGGAAUAAAGUGAGUCUCGUGAGACUUUUUGCAUGUACCUUAUGAAUAAGGACCGGCUAAUUCCGUGCCAGCAGCCGCGGUAAUACGGAAGGUCCGGGCGUUAUCCGGAUUUAUUGGGUUUAAAGGGAGCGUAGGCCGGAGAUUAAGCGUGUUGUGAAAUGUAGACGCUCAACGUCUGCACUGCAGCGCGAACUGGUUUCCUUGAGUACGCACAAAGUGGGCGGAAUUCGUGGUGUAGCGGUGAAAUGCUUAGAUAUCACGAAGAACUCCGAUUGCGAAGGCAGCUCACUGGAGCGCAACUGACGCUGAAGCUCGAAAGUGCGGGUAUCGAACAGGAUUAGAUACCCUGGUAGUCCGCACGGUAAACGAUGGAUGCCCGCUGUUGGUCUGAAUAGGUCAGCGGCCAAGCGAAAGCAUUAAGCAUCCCACCUGGGGAGUACGCCGGCAACGGUGAAACUCAAAGGAAUUGACGGAAGGG